UGCCAUGAUGCUGUAAUUUGCGACUUACUGUGCGUCUGGUGGCGGUAGCCUGCCGUCGUAAGCCAGCGCACACGGAUGCUGAAAACGAACCACUGAGCA
This 99-nucleotide small nucleolar RNA is filed under the name Petromyzon marinus (sea lamprey). RNAcentral describes it as "Small nucleolar RNA SNORD16 (ENSPMAG00000012396.1)". It matches the Rfam family "Small nucleolar RNA SNORD16". Rfam says of the family: U16 is a member of the C/D class of snoRNA which contain the C (UGAUGA) and D (CUGA) box motifs. U81 acts as a guanine methylation guide and is found in an intron of ribosomal proteins L1 gene in animals. The record is from RNAcentral. Lineage: Eukaryota; Metazoa; Chordata; Hyperoartia; Petromyzontiformes; Petromyzontidae.